Molecule: transfer RNA, 72 nt
Filed under: Phrynosoma platyrhinos (Desert horned lizard)
Lineage: Eukaryota; Metazoa; Chordata; Lepidosauria; Squamata; Phrynosomatidae
Description: tRNA-OTHER
Source: RNAcentral
CCCAGCAUGGUGUAGUGGUUUGAGCAUUGGAGUACAACUCUGCAGACUAGGGUUCAAAUCCCUGUUCAGCCA